This 400-nucleotide ribosomal RNA is filed under the name uncultured bacterium. RNAcentral describes it as "bacterial SSU rRNA". It matches the Rfam family "Bacterial small subunit ribosomal RNA", at positions 356 to 773 of the family's 1533-position model. The record is from RNAcentral.
GGGGAAUAUUGGACAAUGGGCGAAAGCCUGAUCCAGCAAUGCCGCGUGAGUGAUGAAGGCCUUAGGGUUGUAAAGCUCUUUUACCCGGGAUGAUAAUGACAGUACCGGGAGAAUAAGCCCCGGCUAACUCCGUGCCAGCAGCCGCGGUAAUACGGAGGGGGCUAGCGUUGUUCGGAAUUACUGGGCGUAAAGCGCGCGUAGGCGGCUAUUCAAGUCAGAGGUGAAAGCCCGGAGCUCAACUCCGGAAUUGCCUUUGAAACUAGAUAGCUAGAAUCAUGGAGAGGCGAGUGGAAUUCCGAGUGUAGAGGUGAAAUUCGUAGAUAUUCGGAAGAACACCAGUGGCGAAGGCGACUCGCUGGACAUGUAUUGACGCUGAGGUGCGAAAGCGUGGGGAGCAAAC